Molecule: long non-coding RNA, 239 nt
Filed under: Elaeis guineensis (African oil palm)
Lineage: Eukaryota; Viridiplantae; Streptophyta; Magnoliopsida; Arecales; Arecaceae
Description: long non-coding RNA (EGUI_LNC032164)
Source: RNAcentral
GACCACCCCAACACCCAAAGACAAAACUCUAGUAGUGCUAUGGUGGCCCGACAAGUCUUCACUCCCCAACAUCCCUAACAUUGGCCUGACGGAUCUCUACUCCCCCCUCCACCCCUAGCGGCAGCUUGAUGGGAGCUUGGUGGUGGAUGAAGAGGAUGCCAAUGGUGGAGAGAAAUGACGAUCUGAUGAGAACCUCCCUAUUUGGCUGCUCCAAGCCAACCAUCCGAUUGAAACAGCAG